RNAcentral lists this ribosomal RNA (440 nucleotides) under uncultured bacterium. Its description in RNAcentral is "partial 16S ribosomal RNA". It matches the Rfam family "Bacterial small subunit ribosomal RNA", at positions 338 to 795 of the family's 1533-position model. The record is from RNAcentral.
CCUACGGGAGGCAGCAGUAGGGAAUAUUGCGCAAUGGGCGAAAGCCUGACGCAGCAACGCCGCGUGAUCGAGACGCCCUUCGGGAUGUAUAGAUCUGUCAGUGGGGACGAUACUUGACGGUACCCACAGAGGAAGCAACGGUUAAUUCAGUGACAGCAGCGACGGUAAUACGGGGGGGGCAAGCGUUGUCCGGAAUCAUUGGGCGUUAAGGGGUCGUAGGCGGCGCGUUAAGUCUGGUGUUAAAAGCAGAGGCUUAACUUCUGUACUGCUCUGGAUACUGGCGAACUAGAAUGCGGUAGGGGUAAAGGGAAUUCCUGGUGUAGCGGUGAAAUGCUUAGAUAUCAGGAGGAACAUCGGUGGCGGAAGCGCUUUACUGGGCCGUAAUUGACGCUGAGGAACGAAAGCCAGGGUAGCAAAUGGGAUUAGAUACCCGGGUAGUC